RNAcentral lists this ribosomal RNA (253 nucleotides) under uncultured bacterium. Its description in RNAcentral is "partial 16S ribosomal RNA". It matches the Rfam family "Bacterial small subunit ribosomal RNA", at positions 524 to 776 of the family's 1533-position model. The record is from RNAcentral.
UACGUAGGGUGCGAGCGUUGUCCGGAAUUACUGGGCGUAAAGGGCGCGUAGGCGGCCUGCUAAGUCGGACGUGAAAUCCCUCGGCUCAACCGGGGAACUGCGUCCGAUACUGGUGGGCUCGAAUCCGGGAGAGGGAUGUGGAAUUCCAGGUGUAGCGGUGAAAUGCGUAGAUAUCUGGAGGAACACCGGUGGCGAAGGCGGCAUCCUGGACCGGUAUUGACGCUGAUGCGCGAAAGCCAGGGGAGCAAACGGG